AAGCUGAAUGCAGGGGAGAUCCCUUGAUCCUCUCAGCUCAGCAAGUGUAGUUAUAGGGUGAGGCCUGCCCUUUGCACUCUGUGCUGGAUGAGCCCUAUGAACUUCCCCAAAUGAGGGAAACUGAACUGCACAAUUUUGUGGUAGUGGGGGACUGUGUUUUUGUUUUCCCUGU
This is a small nuclear RNA of Alligator sinensis (Chinese alligator), 172 nucleotides long. RefSeq annotates it as U1 spliceosomal RNA. Lineage: Eukaryota; Metazoa; Chordata; Crocodylia; Alligatoridae. The record is from RefSeq and is a predicted model, not a curated record. The transcript has a single exon.